GCCCAUUUCCUGGUCGGAUGGGGCCGGCGGGGGGCGGCGGCGGCGGGGUCGGUCCCUGUCCCUGACGGGCUCGGUGGUCGCCGGUGACGCCGCCAGGCAGCGAUGCGAGCCCCGGGCCCUGCCGGCAGCCGGCCCCCGCCGUGACCCGGUGGGGCUGCGCACGCCGGCCCCGCGGGGCGCAUGGAGGCUCCCGCCGCCCUCUGCGAGGUGUGACUCCCCGCGGGACAGCGCGGCUCGGCCCCGCCAGGCGAGCGGCCCCGGGCCCCCCUCAGCGGCCGCGGCAGGAGCCAGGAGGGCUCGGGAGUGACACCGGCAUCGCCCCCGUCGCCGGCGGCUGCCGCCUCCUGAGACAUGAAGAAGUUCUUCGACUCGCGCCGGGAGCAGGGCGGCUCCGGGCCCGGGUCGGGCACCAGCGGCGGCGGCGGCGGCAGCAGCGGCCCGGGCAGCGGCUACAUCGGCCGGGUCUUCAGCAUCGGCCGGCACCAGGUCACCGUGGAUGAGGUGCUGGCGGAAGGUGGCUUUGCAAUCGUGUUCCUGGUGAGGACGAGCAAUGGGGUGAAGUGUGCCCUGAAGAGGAUGUACGUCAAUAACGAGUACGACCUGCAGGUCUGCAAGAGAGAGAUCCAGAUUAUGCGGGAUCUGUCUGGCCACAAGAACAUUGUGGGCUACAUCGACUCCAGCAUCAACUCCGUCAGCAGCGGCGACGUGUGGGAGGUGCUGAUCCUCAUGGACUUCUGCCGGGGGGGACAGGUGGUGAACCUGAUGAACCAGCGCCUGCAGACCGGCUUCACCGAGAGCGAGGUCCUGCAGAUCUUCUGUGACACCUGCGAGGCCGUGGCCAGGCUGCACCAGUGCAAGACCCCCAUCAUCCACAGGGACCUCAAGGUUGAAAACAUCCUGCUGCAUGACCGUGGCCACUACGUCCUGUGUGACUUUGGGAGUGCUACCAACAAAUUCCAGAACCCUCAAACCGAGGGGGUGAAUGCAGUCGAGGAGGAGAUCAAGAAGUACACGACGUUGUCCUACAGAGCACCAGAGAUGGUGAACCUGUACAGUGGCAAACUCAUCACCACAAAAGCAGACAUUUGGGCCCUGGGCUGUUUGCUGUACAAGCUGUGCUACUUCACCUUGCCCUUUGGGGAGAGCCAGGUGGCCAUUUGUGAUGGCAACUUCACCAUCCCAGACAACUCGAGGCACUCCCAGGACAUGCACUGCCUCAUCCGGUACAUGCUGGAGCCAGACCCUGAUAAGAGACCUGACAUUUAUCAGGUCUCCUACUUUGCUUUCAAACUGGCCAAGAAGGAGUGCCCAGUGCAGAAUGUGCAGAACUCUCCAAUCCCUGCUAAACUCCCAGACCCAGUUAAAGCAAGUGAAGCUGCUGCAAAGAAGAGUCAACCAAAGGCCAGGCUCACAGACCCCAUCCCCACGACAGAAACCUCCAUAGCACCCCGGCAGAGACCUAAAGCAGGACAGACCCAGCCCAACCCUGGGAUUCUGCCCAUCCAGCCAGCCCUGACACCCAGGAAGAGAGCCACAGCCCAGGCAGCCAUUCAGCCACAGGUUGCAGGCCCGGCUGCCCUGGGCAGUGCCCAGCCCUCGCUCCCUGCCAGCACCCCCCAGCCAAAAGCAGCCCCCCAGCAGCCUCCAGCCCAGCCCCAGGCCAAGCCGGCAGCAGCGCCCCAGGCACAGCCCCAGGUCCCCUCGACACAGCCCCAGGCCACUCCUCAGCAUCAGCAGCAGCAGCUUUUCCUGAAGCAGCAGCUCCUGCAGCAGCAGCAGCAGCAACAGCAGCAGCAGGCUGCCUACUUCCAGCAGCAGCAGCAGCAGCAGAUGAUGCAGGCACAGCAGUUCCCAGUGAUGCAGCAAGGAGCGCCUGCACAGCAGCAGCAGCUGAUGCAGAACUACUACCAGCAGCAGCAGCAGCAGCAGCAGCUGCUGGCCCAGCAGGCAGCUAUGCAGCAGAAGACCACAGCAGCAGCAGCAGCUCAGCAGAAGCAGCAGCCCCAGGCCCAGCCCAGCACAGCACCGCCAGCACAGCCACAGGAGCAGGGGGCACAGGUGCAGGCUCAGAGGGAGCAGCAGCAGGCUCAGGGGCAGAAGCUGGGCUCCCUGACGCCGCCGUCCUCGCCCAAGGCGCAGCGCGCGGGGCACCGCCGCAUCCUCAGCGACGUCACCCACAGCGCCGUGUUCGGCGUGCCCGCCAGCAAAUCCACCCAGCUGCUGCAGGCUGCGGCUGCUGAGGCCAGCCUCAACAAGUCCAAAUCUGCUUCCACCACGCCCUCGGGCUCGCCAAGGACCUCACAGCAGAAUGUCUACAACCCCCCUGACGUGUCCACGUGGAACCCCUUUGAUGAUGACAACUUCUCCAAGCUGACAGCUGAGGAGCUGCUGAACAAGGACUUUGCAAAGCUGGGGGAUGGGAAAGCUCCAGAAAAGGCAGGCAGCUCCACAGAGAACCUGAUGCCAGGUUUCCAGCCCGCAGCCCCCACAGCCCCAGCAGAUGCCUUUGGUGGCUCCUCCUUCCCUGCUGGGCCAGCUGAAAAAACGAAAGACAUUCUGAGUUUGGACUCUAGCCCUCCUCUUCUGACUGUGCCUGAUCCUUUCAUUCCUCUCCCGUUAUCUGACACCCCAGAAAAACUGAUUGAGGGCCUCAAAUCUCCCGAGCCUGCUCUGCUGCUCCCCGAGCUGCUGCCUCUGGCUGACCCCUUCGGCAGCACGGCAGACACUGCCAAUGGCAAAGCUGCUGUGGCUGUGGAGAGCCUGAUCCCGGGGCUGGAGGCCCCUCUGGCCCAGCGCCUCGUGUCCCACAGCGAGUCCGUGGCCUCCACCAGGACAGACUCUCUCACUGGGGAAGACUCUCUGCUUGACUGUUCUCUGCUCUCUAACCCUGCUGCUGACCUCGUGGAUGAGUUUGCUCCUGUAGCUUUCACAGCUCAGCCUCACAAAGCCCUUUUCCUCUCCCUGUGCAUGAGAGCCAGAGAGGCAGCCUGAGCUCUCACACCAUGCUCAUGACCAAGAACACCUUCAGUCCUUGGGAGCUUACCCAGGCCUCUGCCACAGCUCCAGCUGUCCAGCUGAGCCUUCAGACUGGUCAGGUGGGCAUUCUAGAAACAACAGUGGAAGCUCUGAGUCCAGUCUUCCCAACAUAGCCAGGUCUCUGCUGCUGGUGGAUCAGCUCAUAGACCUGUAGCAGUGACACAGUAGCAGAUGCAGUUUCUGUACCCACACCUCCGGUUUCCUUGCCAGAAGAGUUUCCUUCCUUGUGCUUCUUUGGGGCUUUUUUGUUUCUUUUUGUUUUUCUUUUUUCUCCUUUAAUUAAGAGAAAAAAUUUGCCAACAGGAGACUGUCACCCACCUCUCUCCCUGUCUUGCUGUGCCCUGGGGAAGGUUCUGGCUCAGUUCUCCAGGCAGCCUGGCCUCUCUCAGGCUGGUAGAGCCCUGGGGGUUCCCUCUGCCCUGUCCCAUGGCUGUGUCCAGGGGAGCACCCUGCAGACCCCCCUGGCCCUGCUCAGGGAGCUGGGGCUGCUCUGGGACCCUGCCCCACCUCCUGUCCCCGGGGCAGGGCGUGAGCAGCGCGGCCCCACCUUUGCUUUUUUGUUUGGGCUCUGCUUCUGCUUCUGGUUCUGUUCCCCCAGGGCUGGGCAGGAGCAGGGGCCAGGGGACAGUGGCAGGGACAUCCCUCAGCUGCAGGACACGGGGUAGGAGAGCUGGUGGCUCUGAAUUGCUUCAGAGGAGGAGGAAGCCCCGAGUUCCUCCCGGCCAUACUCUGGUGAUGGUGCACGUGAAGAGUUUUCCAGCUGCCCCCAGAUCAUGGUUUGCUGUUUGACAAUCCUGCUGGAAACAAACUGCACUUCCUGGGGGAGGGAAAACAGAGAAAAGGAAAAAGAAAAAAACCAGAUUGUUAAAGCUGCAGAAAUGACCCUAAGUGAAGCGUGACAAGGUUUUGAACCAAAUCCAUGUGAGUAUGGCUGUGACUAGUGUUUCACUGACCUUUUUUGGGGUGAAAAGGGCAGCAGCAGAUGUAUUUUCUGUGACUUCUUUUCUGUGUUUGACUGGAAAAAAAAGAAAAUCCCCUCAACCUACUGUAAAUGGUGUAUGAAACAAAUUGUCCUACGGCUGUUUGUCUAUUUUUAAUCCUGGUUUUAGUCAAGCAUCUGGUAUCUGUUCUGGGUUCUCCAUUUUCUCUUGUAACUGCUAUAGUGCACCCCAGUUCAGUAUGGAGCCAUUGUUUCAGUAGACAAAGAUUCCUGUGGGCCUUUCUCCACCCCAGUCUCUGUGACCACGCAUGCCCUGGGUUCAGGUGGUUUGAAAUCAGUGCUGCUACAACUCGAUGGGUUCUCCCUUUUCCUUCCCCCUCUCGCUUGGUUUGUCCGUAGCUGGAUCCGCUCAGCUCGUUCUCCUUGGCUUACCACGAAGCCUGGAAUUUCUAUCUCGUGUUUGAAAGCCCUCUCUGAGCAGAAGGACUCUUCCUCUGUAGUGGAAUUCUCCCCAGCUUCCUGCUCCCCGUGUUUGUGUUUGUAGCUGUAUUAGUACCAGUGCAGUUCCCACGUGCGAAAGUGCGAGCGACUGAAUGUCUGUGCUGACCUCGCUGGGAAGAACCCCAAGUUUGUGACUCCUCCUCUCCUCUCUCCAUCUCCUCCCCAGCCCAACACUUAGUUUAACAAAUUCUGUACAUAGAGCUCCCAUCGGUUGUGUCUCUACAUUACUCUUCUUUUAAAACCUACACUUACUAAUAAAAGUAUUGCUUACGUGUGUUGUAUCAUUACAUGUGUAUACUGCACUUUCCAGGAGAAGCUUUACAUGAGAACUAUGGAAAUGACCUUAGUAAAAUUGUGGAUAGAACUUUAUUAUUUUUUUGUUUUAUAUUCCUAAAGCACAGGCGAGCUGGACUGGAAAACACGAAGAUGCUAUAGAUAGAAAGUUAUUGUAUAGUCAGAUACUGAGAUUAUAUGAAAAGAGAAUGGAUUUUAAAAAGUAACCAUCUACUGUAUAUUAGAAACAAAGAUUUCUGUGAAUUAAAGUACUUUUAAAGAAUGUUUAAGAUUUUAAAUCUAAUGGCGCUUGUUCAAGGGUUCUGGAAAAAAAAUGACAAAUGCACUGGGUUGUUAAUAAUGCUAUUAAAUAAGCAGAUGUGAAUGUUUA
This is an RNA transcript of Pyrgilauda ruficollis (rufous-necked snowfinch), 5141 nucleotides long. It is a transcript of the gene named AP2 associated kinase 1, with no coding region annotated. Lineage: Eukaryota; Metazoa; Chordata; Aves; Passeriformes; Passeridae. The transcript is spliced from 22 exons. The record is from RefSeq and is a predicted model, not a curated record.